This 1358-nucleotide long non-coding RNA is filed under the name Rhipicephalus microplus (southern cattle tick). RNAcentral describes it as "uncharacterized LOC119172386". The record is from RNAcentral. Lineage: Eukaryota; Metazoa; Arthropoda; Arachnida; Ixodida; Ixodidae.
GACUGAAAGCAGGCGUGCUGAUUAUGAACAUUCGCUACGAAGAAAGCUUCCAAAGAGCAACGGAAUACUGCGCCUAUUAACGCUUCACCGUAGCUGCAAGAACGCUCUGAAGAAAACGACCGUACCUGCCGGGUAUACCUUGAUAGUUCUCAAGUUAUGACCUUGAGGGACUUGAAUGCGUUGACCAGGGCCCUCAGCAGAGUAGAUUAUUGGGAAAUACACCGCAUGAGCAACGCGCGUAUCCUUGACAACUUUAGCAUUUUGGGAAUGCCAACGAAGCAAGAGAUGAUUGAUCGAGUGCGUGCACACCUGCAAGCAAUACACGUGCCGACGCGCCGGCUUCAACUUCUGGCUGCGGCGUAUUGUUGGCUUGCAGGCCCAAGUGACGUGCUUUCACCGUGGGAGCUGUAUCGUCUCAACUCGCUCAACGUGAAUUUAACCGACUUUGACCUACAUGAGCGCAUUGGGAGAGAGCUGGGAAUUCAAGGUUGUCCUGAAGCAUUUGUGUCGAGGGCCGAAGCAAGUCGCCGCUAUGCGUGCAUUGUAGUACCGGACAUCGUUCCCACGAUUGAGCACUGCGUCAUCUGUGUUUGCGUCUGGAACAGUCUGACCUACGUGGCUGUCUGGGCAUCCGAGUCGGUGGGUAGGGAACAUCUUCGUUCUGCCCUUGCUACAGCACUCUGCGGUAAUCCCGAGAACAUGCGGAUUGGUUCAUUCGAGACCCUUUCAAAGGCAUAUAUAGCAGCCCGUUGCAAUGAAGUGGCAAAACAGGCCAAGUCCUAAGCCACGGAAUACCACUCCACGGCGACGUUUAGAAUCACGGAUACCUGGAGGGUUCUGACGUAUGCCAUUUUGAGAGGCAGCUCGCCCCAGUAUGAGAUGGUGACGACGUCAGCGAGCUGCCAAAUUUUUGUGCAUGGGCUGUGAAGAAUCCCACCGGUUCACCUUGCGGCAGUGCCUGGAUCUUCACACAAGAGGAUGGCUUUGUCUUGCUUGCUACUGGCAUGUUCUUCCCAGUAGAUAGGGAAACUCUCGGCAUGAGUUUUGCAGUUUCCCUGUAAUCAUUCACUAUCUCUGACAAACACGCAGAAUGUGUGCACAAAGAGCAUGAAGAAAUUUAUCAUAAGGUUUGCAAGUAUACUUUGACUAGAUUUUAUUCUUUUUAUACAAACUUGAUUUUCUUUUCAGGUUUUCUUAUGUAUGUACAGAAAAUCACAAUCGCUUUUACUUUCUGUUUUCCGGAAGUUGUUUAGUAGAACGCAUGCUCAAGAAGUUAUGCAUGGACUAUUUAUUAUUGGAAGUAAGUGCUUUUGCGAAAAUUGUAUUGUCCUAGUGUGUAAUAAAUGCACUAGCUGAUA